GAUGAACGCUGGCGGCGUGCUUAACACAUGCAAGUCGAACGAAGCACCUUGAUUUGAUUCUUCGGAUGAAGAUCUUGGUGACUGAGUGGCGGACGGGUGAGUAACGCGUGGGUAACCUGCCUCAUACAGGGGGAUAACAGUUAGAAAUGACUGCUAAUACCGCAUAAGACCACAGCACCGCAUGGUGCAGGGGUAAAAACUCCGGUGGUAUGAGAUGGACCCGCGUCUGAUUAGGUAGUUGGUGGGUAACGGCCUACCAAGCCGACGAUCAGUAGCCGACCUGAGAGGGUGACCGGCCACAUUGGGACUGAGACACGGCCCAAACUCCUACGGGAGGCAGCAGUGGGGAAUAUUGCACAAUGGGGGAAACCCUGAUGCAGCGACGCCGCGUGAGCGAUGAAGUAUUUCGGUAUGUAAAGCUCUAUCAGCAGGGAAGAAAAUGACGGUACCUGACUAAGAAGCACCGGCUAAAUACGUG
Molecule: ribosomal RNA, 478 nt
Filed under: uncultured bacterium
Lineage: Bacteria
Description: partial 16S ribosomal RNA
Rfam family: Bacterial small subunit ribosomal RNA
Source: RNAcentral